GAUCCGGUGGCAUAGUGGUAGAGCGUCCGCAUCGGAUGCGAGAGGUUGCGGGUUCGAACCACGGCCGAAUCA
This is a non-coding RNA of Potamilus streckersoni, 72 nucleotides long. The record is from the annotation of a GenBank genome assembly. Lineage: Eukaryota; Metazoa; Mollusca; Bivalvia; Unionida; Unionidae.